UGCGGGGAGGGCGACUGGCGGCACGGGGAUGGGUCGGACCAUCGGGGAGCCUGUCACGGGAGUCGACCGCCUGGGCUGCCGUU
Molecule: non-coding RNA, 83 nt
Filed under: Micromonospora maris AB-18-032
Lineage: Bacteria; Bacillati; Actinomycetota; Actinomycetes; Micromonosporales; Micromonosporaceae
Also listed under: 1 other name
Description: Verrucosispora maris AB-18-032 ZMP/ZTP riboswitch aptamer (pfl RNA motif)
Rfam family: ZMP/ZTP riboswitch aptamer (pfl RNA motif)
About the family: Previously known as pfl RNA. ZMP is also known as AICAR.
Source: Rfam by way of RNAcentral